AACGAACGCUGGCGGCAUGCCUAACACAUGCAAGUCGAACGAGACCUUCGGGUCUAGUGGCGCACGGGUGCGUAACGCGUGGGAACCUGCCCUUAGGUUCGGAAUAACUCCCCGAAAGGGGUGCUAAUACCGGAUAAUGCCUUCGGACCAAAGAUUUAUCGCCUUUGGAUGGGCCCGCGUUGGAUUAGCUAGUUGGUAGGGUAAAAGCCUACCAAGGCGACGAUCCAUAGCUGGUCUGAGAGGAUGAUCAGCCACACUGGGACUGAGACACGGCCCAGACUCCUACGGGAAGCAGCAGUGGGGAAUAUUGGACAAUGGGCGAAAGCCUGAUCCAGCAAUGCCGCGUGAGUGAUGAAGGCCUUAGGGUUGUAAAGCUCUUUUACCCGGGAUGAUAAUGACAGUACCGGGAGAAUAAGCUCCGGCUAACUCCGUG
Molecule: ribosomal RNA, 433 nt
Filed under: uncultured bacterium
Lineage: Bacteria
Description: partial 16S ribosomal RNA
Rfam family: Bacterial small subunit ribosomal RNA
Source: RNAcentral